AUUCGGAGUACCGUCAACAGACUCAAGGAGAGGAGAAAAGCGCUACAUUUUUCAAAUUGCGCAAGUUCUCGACCAUCAAGCUCAGUAACCAACUCACGCCCUGCUAGUUUGCCACUUGGAGCAAAUGCAAGUCAAGAAGAUGAGGCCUCCGUUAGUACAUCAGGCCAGGGGACGGAGACGGAGAAGACCAGAGGUCCACCGUGCAGCUCCGGUCUUUUAAAGAACUGUGAAAUGCCAACAAUUUUGGUCUCCAAAGUCCCUCAUCAAGACACAGAGGGGCCCUCUCCUCCUAAUGGGACCAUUCCUUUGACUGGUUGUAUUCUUCACAUUCCCAUAGAGCUGGAGUUCGCAGCGUCCUGUUUCUCCCGACGGCCUCAGAACAACUCCCAACCUCGUCUGUGCUGA
Molecule: long non-coding RNA, 405 nt
Filed under: Gouania willdenowi (blunt-snouted clingfish)
Lineage: Eukaryota; Metazoa; Chordata; Actinopteri; Blenniiformes; Gobiesocidae
Description: lncRNA (ENSGWIG00000005771.1)
Source: RNAcentral